UGGGGAAUUUUGGACAAUGGGCGCAAGCCUGAUCCAGCCAUGCCGCGUGUCUGAAGAAGGCCUUCGGGUUGUAAAGGACUUUUGUUAGGGAAGAAAAGGGAAGUGUUAAUACCACUUUUUGCUGACGGUACCUAAAGAAUAAGCACCGGCUAACUACGUGCCAGCAGCCGCGGUAAUACGUAGGGUGCGAGCGUUAAUCGGAAUUACUGGGCGUAAAGCGAGCGCAGACGGUUACUUAAGCAGGAUGUGAAAUCCCCGGGCUCAACCUGGGAACUGCGUUCUGAACUGGGUGACUAGAGUGUGUCAGAGGGAGGUAGAAUUCCACGUGUAGCAGUGAAAUGCGUAGAGAUGUGGAGGAAUACCGAUGGCGAAGGCAGCCUCCUGGGAUAACACUGACGUUCAUGCUCGAAAGCGUGGGUAGCAAACAGGAUUAGAUACCCUGGUAGUCCACGCCCUAAACGAUGUCAAUUAGCUGUUGGGCAACUUGAUUGCUUAGUAGCGUAGCUAACGCGUGAAAUUGACCGCCUGGGGAGUACGGUCGCAAGAUUUA
RNAcentral lists this ribosomal RNA (550 nucleotides) under uncultured bacterium. Its description in RNAcentral is "bacterial SSU rRNA". It matches the Rfam family "Bacterial small subunit ribosomal RNA", at positions 355 to 897 of the family's 1533-position model. The record is from RNAcentral.